This 253-nucleotide ribosomal RNA is filed under the name uncultured bacterium. Its description in RNAcentral is "partial 16S ribosomal RNA". It matches the Rfam family "Bacterial small subunit ribosomal RNA", at positions 524 to 776 of the family's 1533-position model. The record is from RNAcentral.
UACGAAGGGGGCUAGCGUUGCUCGGAAUCACUGGGCGUAAAGGGUGCGUAGGCGGGUCUUUAAGUCAGGGGUGAAAUCCUGGAGCUCAACUCCAGAACUGCCUUUGAUACUGAAGAUCUUGAGUUCGGGAGAGGUGAGUGGAACUGCGAGUGUAGAGGUGAAAUUCGUAGAUAUUCGCAAGAACACCAGUGGCGAAGGCGGCUCUCUGGACCACAACUGACGCUGAGGCGCGAAAGCUAGGGGAGCAAACAGG